Molecule: ribosomal RNA, 495 nt
Filed under: uncultured bacterium
Lineage: Bacteria
Description: partial 16S ribosomal RNA
Rfam family: Bacterial small subunit ribosomal RNA
Source: RNAcentral
GACGAACGCUGGCGGCGUGCCUAAUACAUGCAAGUAGAACGCUGAAGGAGGAGCUUGCUCUUCUGGAUGAGUUGCGAACGGGUGAGUAACGCGUAGGUAACCUGCCUGGUAGCGGGGGAUAACUAUUGGAAACGAUAGCUAAUACCGCAUAAGAGUAGAUGUUGCAUGACAUUUGCUUAAAAGGUGCAAUUGCAUCACUACCAGAUGGACCUGCGUUGUAUUAGCUAGUUGGUGGGGUAACGGCUCACCAAGGCGACGAUACAUAGCCGACCUGAGAGGGUGAGCGGCCACACUGGGACUGAGACACGGCCCAGACUCCUACGGGAGGCAGCAGUAGGGAAUCUUCGGCAAUGGACGGAAGUCUGACCGAGCAACGCCGCGUGAGUGAAGGAGGUUUUCGGAUCGUAAAGCUCUGUUGUAAGAGAAGAACGAGUGUGAGAGUGGAAAGUUCACACUGUGACGGUAUCUUACCAGAAAGGGACGGCUAACUACGUG